This is a long non-coding RNA of Alosa sapidissima (American shad), 607 nucleotides long. RefSeq lists it as uncharacterized. NCBI's taxonomy places the organism in Eukaryota, Metazoa, Chordata, Actinopteri, Clupeiformes, Clupeidae. The record is from RefSeq and is a predicted model, not a curated record. The transcript is spliced from 3 exons.
CUCUCUUCAGGAGCGGUAGAGCAGGAGCAGCAUGAGGAUCUGCAGCAGGUGAGUGUGGGAGAGUGCGCUCUUCUCCCCUGUCUGCUCCCACUCCCACCUCCCUCUCUGGGUGACAUCCGAGUCUACUGGCAAACAGACAAAACAUACCAGGUGGUUCACGUCUUCAACAAAGGCCAGGAGGAGUUUACGCAUCAGUCCCCCUCUUACCACAACAGGACCCGGCUCUUCACCAAUCAGCUGCAGUUUGGCAACUUCAGCCUGGAGUUACGCAACGUCUCUGAGUACGACAACCUCACCACCUUUCAGUGUCUUGCAUUUUACCAUGGAAGCAGGAGGCCUACGUACCAGAACACUACCUUACUGGUGUUGAGGGAAGACGUGAAUAUAUCGCAUGAUGGCGGAGCUGGAAACACUACAUUGCCUGCAGUGGCUGUUGCUUUGCUAGUGUUGAUCUUCAUUAUUUUGGUUUUGGUCUGGGGUAUAAGAAAACGUCUAAAAAAGUGAUGUGAUUCCUCAACUGAAAAUGUACGCCCUGUUUAGGAUUUAGACUAGAACAAAAACUAGAGGACUGGAGAGGACAGGAGGACUGUCAGACCAAUACCAGAGU